Molecule: ribosomal RNA, 484 nt
Filed under: uncultured bacterium
Lineage: Bacteria
Description: partial 16S ribosomal RNA
Rfam family: Bacterial small subunit ribosomal RNA
Source: RNAcentral
AGUGAACGCUGGCGGCGUGCUUAACACAUGCAAGUCGAACGAGAACGGGUUAUAGCUUGCUAUAAUUGUCAGCUAAGUGGCGCACGGGUGAGUAAUGUAUAGGUAAUAUGCCUCUUACUAAGGGAUAACAAUUGGAAGCGAUUGCUAAUACCUUAUACUCCUUAUUAACAGAAGUUAAUAAGGGAAAGAUUUAUUGGUAAGAGAUUAGCCUGUAUUGUAUCAGUUAGUUGGUGGGGUAAUGGCUUACCAAGACUAUGACACAUAACUGGUUUGAGAGGAUGAUCAGUCACACUGGAACUGAGACACGGUCCAGACUCCUACGGGAGGCAGCAGUGGGGAAUAUUGCACAAUGGACGAAAGUCUGAUGCAGCAACGCCGCGUGGAGGAUGACACAUUUCGGUGCGUAAACUCCUUUUAUACGAGAAGAUAAUGACGGUAUUAUAUGAAUAAGCACCGGCUAACUCCGUGCCAGCAGCCGCCGUAA